UGGGGAAUAUUGGACAAUGGGGGCAACCCUGAUCCAGCCAUGCCGCGUGAGUGAUGAAGGCCUUCGGGUUGUAAAGCUCUUUUGGCGGGGACGAUGAUGACGGUACCCGCAGAAUAAGCCCCGGCUAACUUCGUGCCAGCAGCCGCGGUAAGACGAAGGGGGCUAGCGUUGUUCGGAAUUACUGGGCGUAAAGCGAGUGUAGGCGGUUGCCGUAGUCAGGUGUGAAAGCCUUGAGCUCAACUCAAGAAAUGCACUUGAUACUGGGUGACUAGAGGACCGGAGAGGAUAGUGGAAUUCCCAGUGUAGUGGUGAAAUACGUAGAGAUUGGGAAGAACACCAGUGGCGAAGGCGGCUAUCUGGACGGUUACUGACGCUAAGACUCGAAAGCGUGGGGAGCAAACAGGAUUAGAUACCCUGGUAGUCCACGCCGUAAACGAUGGGUGCUAGACGUUGGCGAGCUUGCUCGUCAGUGUCGCAGCUAACGCGUUAAGCACCCCGCCUGGGGAGUACGGCCGCAAGGUUGAAAUCAAAUNAAUUGACGGGGUCUAGCUG
RNAcentral lists this ribosomal RNA (552 nucleotides) under uncultured bacterium. RNAcentral describes it as "partial 16S ribosomal RNA". It matches the Rfam family "Bacterial small subunit ribosomal RNA", at positions 355 to 926 of the family's 1533-position model. The record is from RNAcentral.